Molecule: ribosomal RNA, 216 nt
Filed under: Glomeromycotina sp.
Lineage: Eukaryota; Fungi; Glomeromycota
Description: partial small subunit ribosomal RNA
Rfam family: Eukaryotic small subunit ribosomal RNA (bases 40-216)
Source: RNAcentral
GGGUCAGUAGGUUGGUCGUGCCACCGGUACGUACUGGUCUCACUGAUUCCUCCUUCCUGAAGAACCGUAAUGCCAUUAAUUUGGUGUUGCGGGGAAACAGGACUGUUACUUUGAGAAAAUUAGAGUGUUUAAAGCAAGCUAACGCUUGAAUACAUUAGCAUGGAAUAAUGAAAUAGGACGAUCGAUCCUAUUUUGUUGGUUUCUAGGAUUGACGUA